This 408-nucleotide unclassified non-coding RNA is filed under the name uncultured fungus. RNAcentral's name for it is "sequence contains ITS2". Lineage: Eukaryota; Fungi. The record is from RNAcentral.
AACGCAAAUUGCGCUCUUGGGUAGCCCUAGGAGCACGCCUCUCUCAGUAUCGGUUCAACCCUCUCUCAGCAGCGCUAUUGCAAAAUAGUCGCGUUGGCUGGAUAAUGAGAGUCUGCGUGCCAGCCACGCAGUCUCUUGAAGUACAUGGAGUUAAUGAAUGCGACUAACGAUCAGCUUUCGCCUCUCGGGGUGAGUAUAGUUGAAUUUCGACUGUUGUUCGGUAGUGACGUGAAUAUUGGCCCUUGUGGUCUAACUUUUACGUGUAUCUGCCGCAAUGAUAAUUAAAAGUUGGAAUUAAAUGAACGAUCGAACUAGCUGUAUUUUAACGCGAGUAAACCAUAUGAUUUUUGAGCAAUCAGAAGUCUGAAUUUUGAUCUGAGAUGAAGCGAGACAACCCCCUGAAUUUAA